CUCCGGGAUUGCCGGGCCCCCACAAGCGUUGGACUUGUGAUUUAUUCGACCCACCGCGGAGACCCUUACCUGAGUUCGAGAUCAUUAAACACCGAGUCGACAUGACCGGGUUACCGGGGACGUAUCAGAUACUACAUGACUGUCGUCAGCUCGUGUCGUAAAUUGUUGGGUUAAGUCCCGCACCGCGCGCACCCCUUGUCACCAGUUGCUAGCAGUUCGACUAAGUACUUUGGUGGGCCCGCUGUUGUUGUUUCAGAGGCAGGUGGGGAUGACGUCAAGUCCUCAUGACCCUUCCGCUCAGGGCUACCCCCGUGCUACAUUGGUGAAUAACUUGGGGUUGCUAACCCGCGGGGGGGAGCGAACCUCAUUAAUUUCCCCUCAGUUCGGUUUGCAGUCUGCAACUCGCCUGCUUGAAGCUGGCAUCGCUCGUACCGCGGUUCGCUUGCUGCGGUGAAUCCGUUCCCGGGUCUUGUACACACCGCCCGUCACUUCCGGAAAGUAGGCUGCACUAUGAAGUGGCUGAGCUAACCCGCCAGGGAGGCAGGUUACAACGGUGUGGUCUAUGAAUUGGGGUGAAGUCGUAACAAGGUAACCCGGGCGGGCGCUCGAGCCAAGGGCG
This 619-nucleotide ribosomal RNA is filed under the name uncultured bacterium. RNAcentral describes it as "bacterial SSU rRNA". It matches the Rfam family "Bacterial small subunit ribosomal RNA", at positions 902 to 1520 of the family's 1533-position model. The record is from RNAcentral.